Molecule: ribosomal RNA, 618 nt
Filed under: uncultured bacterium
Lineage: Bacteria
Description: bacterial SSU rRNA
Rfam family: Bacterial small subunit ribosomal RNA
Source: RNAcentral
CCUACGGGAGGCAGCAGUGGGGAAUUUUGGACAAUGGGCGAAAGCCUGAUCCAGCAAUGCCGCGUGAGUGAAGAAGGCCUUCGGGUUGUAAAGCUCUUUUGUCAGGGAAGAAACGGUGAGAGCUAAUAUCUUUUGCUAAUGACGGUACCUGAAGAAUAAGCACCGGCUAACUACGUGCCAGCAGCCGCGGUAAUACGUAGGGUGCAAGCGUUAAUCGGAAUUACUGGGCGUAAAGCGUGCGCAGGCGGUUUUGUAAGUCUGAUGUGAAAUCCCCGGGCUCAACCUGGGAAUUGCAUUGGAGACUGCAAGGCUAGAAUCUGGCAGAGGGGGGUAGAAUUCCACGUGUAGCAGUGAAAUGCGUAGAUAUGUGGAGGAACACCGAUGGCGAAGGCAGCCCCCUGGGUCAAGAUUGACGCUCAUGCACGAAAGCGUGGGGAGUAAACAGGAUUAGAUACCCUGGUAGUCCAGCCCUAAACGAUGUCUACUAGUUGUCGGGUCUUAAUUGACUUGGUAACGCAGCUAAGCGUGAAGUAGACCGCCUGGGGAGUACGGUCGCAAGAUUAAAACUCAAAGGAAUUGACCGGNNGAGAGUAGCGACGACGACGACGAGGGAGGAGG